This is a long non-coding RNA of Ornithorhynchus anatinus (platypus), 403 nucleotides long. RefSeq lists it as uncharacterized. The transcript has 4 exons. The record is from RefSeq and is a predicted model, not a curated record. Lineage: Eukaryota; Metazoa; Chordata; Mammalia; Monotremata; Ornithorhynchidae.
UGCUUUAGAGGAGUGAAAGACUUCUGUGCUCUCCCUCCUCACUGUGCUUCAAAAUCGGGCAAGGUUAAACCUGCAUUUAAAUAGAAAUGGCACUGUCUGCAAACUUCAGUCAAAGGAGGAAAAGGUGGGAAAGGAAAAGAAAGGCCACUGAGCAUCUCCUAGGUUAGAGCUGAUUUUCCAGGAGCACCCUGGGCUGGACACAAAAACUGGAGUGGGAGAAACGGCAGGCAAUGUUUCCGCUUGGAAGGAGCGCUUUCCGGCUUGCUGAGGAACUGUUGCUAUGGAAACAGGCUCCAGGGAACGUAGCUGGGAGAAGGAGAGUGGCCUAAUAGAAAAAGCAUGGCAUUGAGAUUCAGGAGAGCAGGACUUAACUUCUCCAUGCAUCAGUUUCCUCAUCCAUAAC